This is a long non-coding RNA of Panicum virgatum (switchgrass), 287 nucleotides long. RefSeq lists it as uncharacterized. NCBI's taxonomy places the organism in Eukaryota, Viridiplantae, Streptophyta, Magnoliopsida, Poales, Poaceae. The transcript is spliced from 2 exons. The record is from RefSeq and is a predicted model, not a curated record.
AUCCACGCAUCGCUGGCUUGCCUCUUGGGCCCGGUCGGAUUUUUGAGACAAAAGCAAUCCUCCAGAAGGUUUAGGUUGUUCAUUGUUCAGAGAUUACGGUUACAUAUUGGAGUUUAGUCUAUCAUUCGCUCUUGUCUUUUGUAUGAUAAAUAAACGUUUCUAGCAUGUGUUUUGACGGAAUUAUAAGUGGCUAACUUCUUUCAGAUCAUGCUUUCAUCGCUUGCCAUAGUGUAACCAAAUGGUUGAGGUUGACAUUUGAACUUGCUAGCAUUCUAUCUAUCUGUCUA